GACGAGGUGCACAAACGUUAUUCGGAAUUACUGGGCUUAAAGCGUGCGUAGGCGGCCUAGCAAGUCGGGUGUGAAAGACCUCGGCUCAACCGAGGAAUUGCGCCCGAAACUGCUGGGCUUGAGAGAGACAGAGGUGAGCGGAACUGAUGGUGGAGCGGUGAAAUGCGUUGAUAUCAUCAGGAACACCGGUGGCGAAGGCGGCUCACUGGGUCUCUACUGACGCUGAGGUACGAAAGCCAGGGUAGCGAACGGG
This 253-nucleotide ribosomal RNA is filed under the name uncultured bacterium. Its description in RNAcentral is "partial 16S ribosomal RNA". It matches the Rfam family "Bacterial small subunit ribosomal RNA", at positions 524 to 776 of the family's 1533-position model. The record is from RNAcentral.